RNAcentral lists this ribosomal RNA (423 nucleotides) under uncultured bacterium. Its description in RNAcentral is "bacterial SSU rRNA". It matches the Rfam family "Bacterial small subunit ribosomal RNA", at positions 355 to 775 of the family's 1533-position model. The record is from RNAcentral.
UGAGGAAUAUUGGUCAAUGGACGCAAGUCUGAACCAGCCAUGCCGCGUGAAGGAUGAAGGCCUUCUGGGUUGUAAACUUCUUUUAUGUGGGAAGAAAACUACGGUUUCUACUGUAGCCGACGGUACCAUAGGAAUAAGCACCGGCUAACUCCGUGCCAGCAGCCGCGGUAAUACGGAGGGUGCAAGCGUUAUCCGGAUUCACUGGGUUUAAAGGGUGUGUAGGCGGGUUAUUAAGUCAGUGGUGAAAUCUCCGGGCUCAACCCGGAAACUGCCAUUGAUACUAUUAGCCUUGAAUUCUGUUGAGGUGGGCGGAAUAUGUCAUGUAGCGGUGAAAUGCAUAGAUAUGACAUAGAACACCAAUUGCGAAGGCAGCUCACUAAACAGCGAUUGACGCUGAGGCACGAAAGCGUGGGGAUCAAACAG